RNAcentral lists this ribosomal RNA (254 nucleotides) under uncultured bacterium. Its description in RNAcentral is "partial 16S ribosomal RNA". It matches the Rfam family "Bacterial small subunit ribosomal RNA", at positions 524 to 777 of the family's 1533-position model. The record is from RNAcentral.
GACAGAGGAUGCAAGCGUUAUCCGGAAUGAUUGGGCGUAAAGCGUCUGUAGGUGGCUUUUUAAGUCUGCCGUCAAAUCCCAGGGCUUAACCCUGGACAGGCGGUGGAAACUACCAAGCUGGAGUACGGUAGGGGCAGAGGGAAUUUCCGGUGGAGCGGUGAAAUGCGUAGAUAUUCGGAAGAACACCAGUGGCGAAGGCGACUUACUGGACACAUAUUGACGCUGAGGUGCGAAAGCGUGGGGAGCAAACAGGG